RNAcentral lists this unclassified non-coding RNA (23 nucleotides) under Mus musculus (house mouse). Its description in RNAcentral is "oocyte_clustered_small_RNA12237". The record is from RNAcentral. Lineage: Eukaryota; Metazoa; Chordata; Mammalia; Rodentia; Muridae.
UAGCUGAUGGCGGUGGAUGUGUG